GCCAAGGGCAUUGCUGGGUAGCUACGUUCGGACGGGAUAAACGCUGAAAGCAUCUAAGUGUGAAGCCCUCCUCAAGAUGAGAUUUCCCUCUCUUAAUGAGAUAAGGUCCCUGGAAGACUACCAGGUUGAUAGGCCGGAAGUAAAAGUGUAGCAAUACAUGAAGCGUACCGGUACUAAUAGACCGAAGACUUGACCACAA
RNAcentral lists this ribosomal RNA (199 nucleotides) under Clostridiaceae bacterium. Its description in RNAcentral is "partial 23S ribosomal RNA". It matches the Rfam family "Bacterial large subunit ribosomal RNA", at positions 2728 to 2925 of the family's 2925-position model. Lineage: Bacteria; Bacillati; Bacillota; Clostridia; Eubacteriales; Clostridiaceae. The record is from RNAcentral.